CCUACGGGUGGCAGCAGUGAGGAAUAUUCGUCAAUGGGCGCGAGCCUGAACCAGCAAAGUAGCGUGAAGGAUGACUGCCCUACGGGUUGUAAACUUCUUUUAUAAAGGAAUAAAGUGAGGCACGUGUGCCUUUUUGUAUGUACUUUAUGAAUAAGGAUCGGCUAACUCCGUGCCAUCAGCCGCGGUAAUACGGUGGAUCCGAGCGUUAUCCGGUUUUAUUGGGUUUAAAGGGAGCGUAGAUGGGUUGUUAAGUCAGUUGUGAAAGUUUGCGGCUCAACCGUAAAAUUGCAAUUGAUACUGGAAGUCUUGAGUACAGUUGAGGUAGGCGGAAUUCGUGGUGUAGCGGUGAAAUGCUCAGAGAUAACGAAGAACUCCGAUUGCGAAGGCAGCUUACUAAACUGCAACUGACAUUGAUGUUCGAAAGUGUGGAUAUCAAACAGGAUUAGAUACCCGAGUAGUC
This 460-nucleotide ribosomal RNA is filed under the name uncultured bacterium. RNAcentral's name for it is "partial 16S ribosomal RNA". It matches the Rfam family "Bacterial small subunit ribosomal RNA", at positions 338 to 795 of the family's 1533-position model. The record is from RNAcentral.